GCGAAACCUCCGCAAUGCGAGCAAUCGCGACGGGGGGACCCCAAGUGCCACUCUUAACGGGGUGGCUUUUCUUGAGUGUAAAAAGCUCUUGGAAUAAGAGCUGGGCAAGACCGGUGCCAGCCGCCGCGGUAACACCGGCAGCUCAAGUGGUGGCCAUUUUUAUUGGGCCUAAAGCGUUAGUAGCCGGCCUGAUAAGUCUCUGGUGAAAUCCUACAGCUUAACUGGGGGAAUUGCUGGAGAUACUAUUAGGCUUGAGGUCGGGAGAGGUUAGCGGUACUCCCAGGGUAGGGGUGAAAUCCUAUAAUCCUGGGAGGACCACCUGUGGCGAAGGCGGCUAACUGGAACGAAACUGACGGUGAGUAGCGAAAGCCGGAGGCGCGAACC
RNAcentral lists this ribosomal RNA (384 nucleotides) under uncultured prokaryote. RNAcentral describes it as "bacterial SSU rRNA". It matches the Rfam family "Archaeal small subunit ribosomal RNA", at positions 341 to 725 of the family's 1478-position model. The record is from RNAcentral.